UUGCUAUCACUUAUAGAUGGACCCGCGCCGUAUUAGCUAGUUGGUGAGGUAAUGGCUCACCAAAGCAACGAUACGUAGCCGACCUGAGAGGGUGAUCGGCCACACUGGAACUGAGACACGGUCCAGACUCCUACGGGAGGCAGCAGUAGGGAAUCUUCCGCAAUGGGCGAAAGCCUGACGGAGCAACGCCGCGUGAGUGAUGAAGGUCUUAGGAUCGUAAAACUCUGUUAUUAGGGAAGAACAAACGUGUAAGUAACUGUGCACGUCUUGACGGUACCUAAUCAGAAAGCCACGGCUAACUACGUGCCAGCAGCCGCGGUAAUACGUAGGUGGCAAGCGUUAUCCGGAAUUAUUGGGCGUAAAGCGCGCGUAGGCGGUUUUUUAAGUCUGAUGUGAAAGCCCACGGCUCAACCGUGGAGGGUCAUUGGAAACUGGAAAACUUGAGUGCAGAAGAGGAAAGUGGAAUUCCAUGCGUAGCGGUGAAAUGCGCAGAGAUAUGGAGGAACACCAGUGGCGAAGGCGACUUUCUGGUCUGUAACUGACGCUGAUGUGCGAAAGCGUGGGGAUCAAA
RNAcentral lists this ribosomal RNA (571 nucleotides) under uncultured Staphylococcus sp. RNAcentral describes it as "bacterial SSU rRNA". It matches the Rfam family "Bacterial small subunit ribosomal RNA", at positions 209 to 772 of the family's 1533-position model. The record is from RNAcentral. Lineage: Bacteria; Bacillati; Bacillota; Bacilli; Caryophanales; Staphylococcaceae.